Molecule: ribosomal RNA, 254 nt
Filed under: uncultured bacterium
Lineage: Bacteria
Description: partial 16S ribosomal RNA
Rfam family: Bacterial small subunit ribosomal RNA
Source: RNAcentral
UACGUAGGUGGCAAGCGUUGUCCGGAUUUACUGGGCGUAAAGAGCGCGCAGGCGGUCGUUCAAGUCGCGUGUGAAAGCCCCCGGCUCAACUGGGGAGGGUCACGCGAUACUGAUCGACUCGAAGGCAGGAGAGGGUAGUGGAAUUCCCGGUGUAGUGGUGAAAUGCGUAGAUAUCGGGAGGAACACCAGUGGCGAAGGCGACUACCUGGCCUGUUUCUUGACGCUGAGGCGCGAAAGCUAGGGGAGCAAGCGGG